Camellia sinensis is the source of this 2035-nucleotide long non-coding RNA. RefSeq lists it as uncharacterized. NCBI's taxonomy places the organism in Eukaryota, Viridiplantae, Streptophyta, Magnoliopsida, Ericales, Theaceae. The record is from RefSeq and is a predicted model, not a curated record.
AGAAAAGUGAGAAAAGGGCUUUGAGAGAAAAAAAGAGCACGAGUGCCAAGUGAUAUGAGAAAGGGUGGGAAACAAUGUCUAAGCCCAUCAAAGUCUUGGCCAGCACCAAGCCAAUGCAACUCUUGCCCUCUUUCAAGGCUUAUGCCACUUCAAUUAGCUGAAUGCCAGACUCACCGAAACCAGGGGCAAGAAGGAAAUGAGCCAGCAUACAAAAGCAAAGGCCAUGCUGCCUAAAACCCCGCCAAAGAAGAUCGCCUCGGUCACCAUCAAUCCACCAUUGAAGUAUUACCCCAGGUAUGUCCUCAUUAUUUUGCCCUCUCUCUGUUUUUCAGUCUCUAUUCCCCUAAUUUUUGCCUCUAGGGUUUUCUUCUUCCAUUUGCAUACCUUCACCCAAACCCAACCCCAAAUCAACCCAUGUUAAGGUUGAGGCAUCUGUUCAUUCAUUGUCCUUGGAUAUGGAGGAUAUGGGUUGAAUUACUAGAAUAGUGGAAUGUUCACUAGGUUAUACCAUAAUCUUUUUCAAGUUUGUCACACUGGGGGUUUGGGUUUAAAUUUGGGAAGCUGGAAAAGAAGAUAUGGAGGCUAUGGUUUGGUCAAUUUGGAAGGCUCGUAAUGACCUUAAGUUUAAUGGAAUUCAAGUCAGAUGGAAAUCUUUGGUUCAAAAUUGCUUUGUGGGUCAAAUAUAAGUGCAAGGAUGUGGUCUUUGCGAUGAAUGAUCUAGUGUUUAACUUGGUAGUGGUGAGAGGUUUUAGGGUGUAGUUGGUGUUUGGCCUGUUCUCUUUGUUUUUUUUCUAACUACUGCUCUUGCUUGUUUGUUUUUCUCUACCUACUGCUCUAACUUGGCCUGUUUCGUCCAUGCUUGUAUUUGUUGUUGUCUUCUGACCCUUUUGCUCACCAUGUGUUUGACAAAAUGUUCAAAUGAAACUGGACAAUGCUCAUGUGUUUGACAUCUGUUUAUGAGGUUUGGUUGUGCCCAGAUUGAAUUUAGUUGUUUUUUUUUUUAUUACUUGUUCAUGAGCUGUUAUUAGGUGCAAUUUCAGUUUGAGAUUGAAUUUCAUUUUUUUUUUCAGUUUCAUGAGCUGUUAUUAGGUACAAUGCUCAUGAGAUUGAAUUUCAGUUGUUUUAGUUUGAGAUUGAAUUUCAGUUUUUUGUAAUUACUUGUUCAUGAGCUGUUAUUAGGUGCAAUUUUAGAUGAUAAAAUAACAUGCCAAUGGUUCUUCACUGCUUUGUCAAUUCUUCUUGGGAAAAGCCUAGCAAUCAUGGCCCACUUGUUUCCAUACAGCCUGUGAGUAGCCAUUAGUCUCUCUUCUUCCUCUUCACUAAAAGCUUUUCUAUUGAUCCUUGGGUCCAAUUGGUUGAACCAUCUUAGCCUACAACUCUUACCUUCAUUGAAGUGUAAUGAAGCCAUAGAUCUCUCAAAGAGCACUGAUACAGCUGUUAUUUUUGGUCAGAAACUAGUGGACCCAACAAAGAUCGGUCGCUAGGCUAUUGUGAACUUUUCAGCUUGCUGCAAUAUCCAUGGCCUUGUUAGGGAUUUGAUCAAAUGUGGAGACAUGAAGGGAAUUCAAAUUGAAGCUCUGUUCGAUGUAUUUGAAGAGAGUCCACAAAAUAGGCGGGCCCCACCUCUUGUUAGAGUGGAAAAAAUGUUUGAAGAUAUACAAUUCAAACUUCUAGGGCUCCUCAAUUUCUUCUCUGUCUGCUUCCAGAGAGGAAGAACUCUGAUCUAUAUGGUCCAAGGAAACGAAAGAAUCUUGCUGACUUUGGCAUUGUCACUCUGUGCAUUGCACUUACAAGAGUUAAUGACCAGUAUCUUACUAAUGUUCUCCUUAAGAUCAAUGCGAAAGUGAGGUACUUACUGUAUGGAGGUGUGACUUCCUCAAUGAGACAAGCAUUCACUCAAUUUUCAGAUUAUAGGUUUGGACAUUCUGAGACAAGCAUUCCCUCAAUUUUCAGAUUAUAAGUUUGGCAUUUAGAUCAAUGGCUUUAUUGUCAAAUUAAGCAAGUAUUUUAGUAAAUAAAUUUAAUUUUCCCAUCA